RNAcentral lists this ribosomal RNA (478 nucleotides) under uncultured bacterium. RNAcentral describes it as "partial 16S ribosomal RNA". It matches the Rfam family "Bacterial small subunit ribosomal RNA", at positions 28 to 507 of the family's 1533-position model. The record is from RNAcentral.
GAUAAACGCUGGCGGCGUGCAUAACACAUGCAAGUCGAACGAUGAAGAUUAAAAGAUUUCUUCGGAAUGAACUUAAUUGGAUUAGUGGCGGACGGGUGAGUAACGCGUGAGUAACCUGCCUUGUACAAGGGGAUAGCCGUUGGAAACGACGAAUAAUACCCUAUGACAUCAAAUAAUCGCAUGAUAAUUUGAUCAAAGAUUUAUCGGUAUAAGAUGGACUCGCGUCUGAUUAGCUAGUUGGUAGAGUAAAAGCCUACCAAGGCAACGAUCAGUAGCCGGGUUGAGGAGGGGUACGGCCAACUUUGGAAUGGGGCACGGCCCAGAACCCUACGGGGAGGAGGAGGUGGGGAUUUUUGACAAAUGGGGGAAACCCUGAUGCAGCGACGCCGCGUGAUUUAGAAGGCCUUCGGGUUGUAAAAAUCUUUUGUAUGGGAAGAAAAUGACAGUACCAUACGAAUAAGGACCGGCUAAUUACGUG